GGAAUCCAACCAGGGUUACAGUCCAGUAUGGCCCGGGCAGAGUUAUGGAACACAGCGAGAAAGGAGGGAGAGAAUGAGAGGACAGGUCACGGCAACCAAAACACAGGCAGAAACCUUGGCCAUUAUUACAUAGCAUUUAUUUGCAACAUGUCUUUGAAUUUAUUUAUUUUUAAGUAAAAAAAUGUAAUGACCAAGUAUACUGGGCUUAAAGGAAGAGCUAUAGUUGAAGUAUUCUGCUAUCAGGUGAGGACAGGUGUGUGUUGAGGUAUUCUGUAAUGAGGUGAGGACAGGUGUGUGUGUGUGUGUGUGUGUGUGUGUGUUUGUGUGUGUUGAGGUAUUCUGCUAUCAGGUGAGGACAGGUGUGUGUGUGUUGAGGUAUUCUGUAAUGAGGUGAGGACAGGUGUGUUGAGGUAUUCUGCUAUCAGGUGAGGACAGGUGUGUGUGUGUUGAGGUAUUCUGUUAUGAGGUGAGGACAGGUGUGUGUGUGUUGAGGUAUUCUGUAAUGAGGUGAGGACUGGUGUGUGUGUGUUGAGGUAUUCUGUAAUGAGGUGAGGACUGGUGUGUGUGUGUUGAGGUAUUCUGUAAUGAGGUGAGGACUGGUGUGUGUUGAGGUAUUCUGUUAUGAGGUGAGGACUGGUGUGUGUUGAGGUAUUCUGUAAUGAGGUGAGGACAGGUGUGUGUUGAGGUAUUCUGUUAUGAGGUGAGGACUGGUGUGUGUGUGUUGAGGUAUUCUGUAAUGAGGUGAGGACUGGUGUGUGUGUGUUGAGGUAUUCUGUAAUGAGGUGAGGACAGGUGUGUGUUGAGGUAUUCUGUUAUGAGGUGAGGACUGGUGUGUGUGUGUUGAGGUAUUCUGUAAUGAGGUGAGGACUGGUGUGUGUUGAGGUAUUCUGUUAUGAGGUGAGGACUGGUGUGUGUUGAGGUAUUCUGUAAUGAGGUGAGGACUGGUGUGUGUGUGUGUUGAGGUAUUCUGUAAUGAGGAGAGGACUGGUGUGUGUUGAGGUAUUCUGUUAUGAGGUGAGGACUGGUGUGUGUUGAGGUAUUCUGUAAUGAGGUGAGGACUGGUGUGUGUUGAGGUAUUCUGUAAUGAGGUGAGGACUGGUGUGUGUUGAGGUAUUCUGUAAUGAGGUGAGGACUGGUGUGUGUGUGUUGAGGUAUUAUGUUAUGAGGUGAGGACAGGUGUGUGUGUGUUGAGGCAUUCUGUAAUGAGGUGAGGACAGGUGUGUGUGUUGAGGUAUUUUGUAAUGAGGUGAGGACUGGUGUGUGUGUGUUGAGGUAUUCUGUUAUGAGGUGAGGACAGGUAUGUGUUGAGGUAUUUUAUAAUGAGGUGAGGACAGGUGUUGAGGUAUUCUGUAAUGAGGUGAGGACUUGUGUGUGUUGAGGUAUUCUGCUAUCAGGUGAGGACAGGUGUGUGUUGAGGUAUUCUGUAAUGAGGUGAGGACUGGUGUGUGUGUGUGUGUUGAGGUAUUCUGUAAUGAGGUGAGGACAGGUGUGUGUUGAGGUAUUCUGUUAUGAGGUGAGGACAGGUGUGUGUUGAGGUAUUCUGUAAUGAGGUGAGGACUGGUGUGUUUUGAGGUAUUCUGUUAUGAGGUGAGGACAGGUGUGUGUUGAGGUAUUCUGUAAUGAGGUGAGGACUGGUGUUUUGAGGUAUUCUGCUAUCAGGUGAGGACUGGUGUGUGUUGAGGUAUUCUGUAAUGAGGUGAGGACUGGUGUUUUGAGGUAUUCUGCUAUCAGGUGAGGACUGGUGUUGAGGUAUUCUGGAGCCAUGAACAACAGAACCUUUUGUGACAACACAGUCAUUGUCAUGCUAUACCAUCAUGGCGAAAUGUCAAAUGACUCACUGUGCUCAAUGUCAGAAGUAGACAAUACAUGUUCACACUACAAUAAUAUAUAAUCUAGAUGGAUGUUCAAAUGACUGCUGGCUCUGUUGUGUUGCUGCCCUGGUGCAGUAGAAAAGAGGCUGUGUUCAUAGUGUACAUUAAGUUACGGCCCUAGAAAAUCCCUUUAAUUUCUUGGCCUGAUUCCAUCUAGUUUUUCUCCAAAUUCUGUUUCUUUGUUUAGUUUUUCCAGGUUUCCAUUUUUCCGAAAUGGUUCAGGUUUUCGCUCUCAAAAUCACACUUUUUAGAAUAGAAAAACAACCAAAUUUGAUGUUUUAAGUCCACAACCAUGCUUAAACCACAUCAGGAGACCCCUUUUGAGAUCUGGGAAAAAUUCUUUAACUCAACUGCGCA
This is a non-coding RNA of Oncorhynchus mykiss (rainbow trout), 2228 nucleotides long. The record is from RefSeq and is a predicted model, not a curated record. Lineage: Eukaryota; Metazoa; Chordata; Actinopteri; Salmoniformes; Salmonidae.